UACGGGGGGGGCGAGCGUUGUUCGGAAUUACUGGGCGUAAAGGGUUUGUAGGUGGCCUGCUAAGUCAGACGUGAAAUCCCUCAGCUUAACUGGGGAACUGCGUCUGAUACUGGCGGGCUUGAGGACAGGAGAGGAACGCGGAAUUCCAGGUGUAGCGGUGAAAUGCGUAGAUAUCUGGAGGAACACCGGUGGCGAAGGCGGCGUUCUGGACUGUCUCUGACACUGAAAAACGAAAGCCAGGGGAGCAAACGGG
Molecule: ribosomal RNA, 253 nt
Filed under: uncultured bacterium
Lineage: Bacteria
Description: partial 16S ribosomal RNA
Rfam family: Bacterial small subunit ribosomal RNA
Source: RNAcentral